Molecule: ribosomal RNA, 496 nt
Filed under: uncultured bacterium
Lineage: Bacteria
Description: partial 16S ribosomal RNA
Rfam family: Bacterial small subunit ribosomal RNA
Source: RNAcentral
AUGAACGCUGGCGGCGUGCCUAAUACCUGCAAGUCGAGCGAACGGACGAGAAGCUUGCUUCUCUGAUGUUAGCGGCGGACGGGUGAGUAACACGUGGAUAACCUACCUAUAAGACUGGGAUAACUUCGGGAAACCGGAGCUAAUACCGGAUAAUAUUUUGAACCGCAUGGUUCAAAAGUGAAAGACGGUCUUGCUGUCACUUAUAGAUGGAUCCGCGCUGCAUUAGCUAGUUGGUAAGGUAACGGCUUACCAAGGCAACGAUGCAUAGCCGACCUGAGAGGGUGAUCGGCCACACUGGAACUGAGACACGGUCCAGACUCCUACGGGAGGCAGCAGUAGGGAAUCUUCCGCAAUGGGCGAAAGCCUGACGGAGCAACGCCGCGUGAGUGAUGAAGGUCUUCGGAUCGCAAAACUCUGUUAUUAGGGAAGAACAUAUGUGUAAGUAACUGUGCACAUCUUGACGGUACCUAAUCAGAAAGCCACGGCUAACUACGUG